GCCGAAUGUGCUCAUGAUUCUGAAAGUGAUUUGCGAUACCUCAAAUUCCCUCUACAAAAGAAAUGAACAAGUAAACUAAAAGUAUCUGUCCAGAGGAGUAAGCUUGGAACUGACAGAGGAGUAGGAAAAGAAUAGUUUAGUAAAUGAAAACCAGUGCUCAUUUCCAAAGGUGUGCAUUCACGAAAUCACAUGUAGAUUUCAUAAAUUCAACUAUCUGCAUAUGUAUUUGUUUGUCCACAUAGCAAGCAUGUUACUUCCAUUACGCAUAGUGAU
Molecule: long non-coding RNA, 273 nt
Organism: Manihot esculenta (cassava)
Lineage: Eukaryota; Viridiplantae; Streptophyta; Magnoliopsida; Malpighiales; Euphorbiaceae
Exons: 2
Source: RefSeq, a predicted model, not a curated record